This 503-nucleotide ribosomal RNA is filed under the name uncultured bacterium. Its description in RNAcentral is "partial 16S ribosomal RNA". It matches the Rfam family "Bacterial small subunit ribosomal RNA", at positions 30 to 523 of the family's 1533-position model. The record is from RNAcentral.
AUUGAACGCUGGCGGCAGGCUUAACACAUGCAAGUCGAGCGGGGUGAUGGUGCUUGCACUAUCACUUAGCGGCGGACGGGUGAGUAAUGCUUAGGAAUCUGCCUAUUAGUGGGGGACAACAUCUCGAAAGGGAUGCUAAUACCGCAUACGUCCUACGGGAGAAAGCAGGGGAUCACUUGUGACCUUGCGCUAAUAGAUGAGCCUAAGGCGGAUUAGCUAGUUGGUGGGGUAAAGGCCUACCAAGGCGACGAGCUGUAGCGGGUCUGAGAGGAUGAUACGCCACACUGGGACUGAGACACGGCCCAGACUCCUACGGGAGGCAGCAGUGGGGAAUAUUGGACAAUGGGGGGAAACCUGAUCCAGCCAUGCCGCGUGUGUGAAGAAGGCCUUAUGGUUGUAAAGCACUUUAAGCGAGGAGGAGGCUCUUUUGGUUAAUACCCAAGAUGAGUGGACGUUACUCGCAGAAUAAGCACCGGCUAACUCUGUGCCAGCCGCCGCCGUAA